AAACCACAAGAAAAUUUUCGUUUGUUUUGCUGGUGUCAUCAUUAUCCAAAGUGAGGAUUUGAUUGGUUAUCGCGUUAUCGGUGUUCGACUCAUUUGUUGCUCCGACUUUCAGGCAGUCCUAGGCUCAUUUUUGGCAGACGUACCGCCUCAAUCGUUGUGUUAUCUUCCACCCCAUUACUUGUUUACCAUUGAUGGACCUUAGGUACACCUGGAGCUUGCACGGGAGGCGUGGUCGUUGUGGACAUGGAUCGUGGAUGUCAUGCUAAAACAUUUAAACAUUUGAACUUAUUUCUUACAUUGGGUUUACAUUUAUGCUUCCGCUAGAUACUUAAAAUGCUUUGUUUUGAACACCUUUCAUAUUGUUUGGUUGAAUUACACUUACGUUUAUUAUUACUUAUUAUGUUCGAUAUGAUUGGUGGCUU
This 422-nucleotide long non-coding RNA is filed under the name Helianthus annuus (common sunflower). Lineage: Eukaryota; Viridiplantae; Streptophyta; Magnoliopsida; Asterales; Asteraceae. The record is from RNAcentral.